CAUCUACUCCCUCCGUUCGGAAAUACUUGUCCAAGGAAUAGAUGUAUUUAAAUGUAUUUUAGUUCUAGAUACAUCCAUUUGUAUCCAUUUCUACGACAAGUAUUUUCGAACGGAGGAAGUAGCUU
This is a non-coding RNA of Triticum aestivum (bread wheat), 125 nucleotides long. NCBI's taxonomy places the organism in Eukaryota, Viridiplantae, Streptophyta, Magnoliopsida, Poales, Poaceae. The record is from Rfam.